CACGCAGGCGGUCUGUCAAGUCGGAUGUGAAAUCCCCGGGCUCAACCUGGGAACUGCAUCCGAAACUGGCAGGCUAGAGUCUUGUAGAGGGGGUAGAAUUCCAGGUGUAGCGGUGAAAUGCGUAGAGAUCUGGAGGAAUACCGGUGGCGAAGGCGGCCCCCUGGACAAAGACUGACGCUCAGGUGCGAAAGCGUGGGGAGCAAACA
This 206-nucleotide ribosomal RNA is filed under the name uncultured bacterium. RNAcentral describes it as "partial 16S ribosomal RNA". It matches the Rfam family "Bacterial small subunit ribosomal RNA", at positions 568 to 774 of the family's 1533-position model. The record is from RNAcentral.